This 91-nucleotide non-coding RNA is filed under the name Lentzea aerocolonigenes. Its description in RNAcentral is "Lechevalieria aerocolonigenes Glycine sequence". It matches the Rfam family "Glycine riboswitch aptamer". Rfam says of the family: This family represents the bacterial glycine riboswitch. Lineage: Bacteria; Bacillati; Actinomycetota; Actinomycetes; Pseudonocardiales; Pseudonocardiaceae. The record is from Rfam by way of RNAcentral.
CGAUGUCGCGCGGGAGAGCCCACUUGAGUGUGGGCGCCGAAGGAGCAACUCCUCCCCGGAAUCUCUCAGGCACAGAUACCGCACGACGAAG